CCUACGGGCGGCAGCAGUGGGGAAUAUUGGACAAUGGGCGAAAGCCUGAUCCAGCCAUGCCGCGUGUGUGAAGAAGGCCUUCGGGUUGUAAAGCACUUUCAGUGGGGAAGAAAGCCUUGGGGCUAAUACCCGCUAGGAAGGACAUCACCCACAGAAGAAGCACCGGCUAACUCCGUGCCAGCAGCCGCGGUAAUACGGAGGGUGCGAGCGUUAAUCGGAAUUACUGGGCGUAAAGCGCGCGUAGGCGGUCUGAUAAGCCGGUUGUGAAAGCCCCGGGCUCAACCUGGGAACGGCAUCCGGAACUGUCAGGCUAGAGUGCAGGAGAGGUAGGUAGAAUUCCCGGUGUAGCGGUGAAAUGCGUAGAGAUCGGGAGGAAUACCAGUGGCGAAGGCGGCCUUCUGGACUUAGACUGACGCUGAGGUGCGAAAGCGUGGGUAGCAAACAGGAUUAGAUACCCCUGUAGUC
RNAcentral lists this ribosomal RNA (465 nucleotides) under Vreelandella stevensii. Its description in RNAcentral is "partial 16S ribosomal RNA". It matches the Rfam family "Bacterial small subunit ribosomal RNA", at positions 338 to 795 of the family's 1533-position model. The record is from RNAcentral. Lineage: Bacteria; Pseudomonadati; Pseudomonadota; Gammaproteobacteria; Oceanospirillales; Halomonadaceae.